This 497-nucleotide ribosomal RNA is filed under the name uncultured bacterium. Its description in RNAcentral is "partial 16S ribosomal RNA". It matches the Rfam family "Bacterial small subunit ribosomal RNA", at positions 28 to 507 of the family's 1533-position model. The record is from RNAcentral.
GAUGAACGCUGGCGGCGUGCCUAAUACAUGCAAGUCGAGCGAACGGACGAGAAGCUUGCUUCUCUGAUGUUAGCGGCGGACGGGUGAGUAACACGUGGAUAACCUACCUAUAAGACUGGGAUAACUUCGGGAAACCGUAGCUAAUACCGGAUAAUAUUUUGAACCGCAUGGUUCAAAAGUGAAAGACGGUCUUGCUGUCACUUAUAGAUGGAUCCGCGCUGCAUUAGCUAGUUGGUAAGGUAACGGCUUACCAAGGCAACGAUGCAUAGCCGACCUGAGAGGGGGAUCGGCCACACUGGAACUGAGACACGGUCCAGACUCCUACGGGAGGCAGCAGUAGGGAAUCUUCCGCAAUGGGCGAAAGCCUGACGGAGCAACGCCGCGUGAGUGAUGAAGGUCUUCGGAUCGUAAAACUCUGUUAUUGGGGAAGAACAUAUGUGUAAGUAACUGUGCACAUCUUGACGGUACCUAAUCAGAAAGCCACGGCUAACUACGUG